Small nucleolar RNA from Phoenix dactylifera (date palm), 102 nucleotides. RefSeq annotates it as small nucleolar RNA Z159/U59. NCBI's taxonomy places the organism in Eukaryota, Viridiplantae, Streptophyta, Magnoliopsida, Arecales, Arecaceae. The record is from RefSeq and is a predicted model, not a curated record.
GUCUUUGAUGAUGAUCAAAAGAAUAAUUUUCAUUCUUCCGAGGGUUUUGGUGAUGAUCACCAUCCAUGUGGAAAAGCUAAUGGAGAUCUGAACUGAGGAGAC